RNAcentral lists this ribosomal RNA (301 nucleotides) under uncultured bacterium. RNAcentral describes it as "partial 16S ribosomal RNA". It matches the Rfam family "Bacterial small subunit ribosomal RNA", at positions 509 to 809 of the family's 1533-position model. The record is from RNAcentral.
CAGCAGCCGCGGUAAUACGGAGGGGGCUAGCGUUGUUCGGAAUUACUGGGCGUAAAGCGCACGUAGGCGGCUUGGUAAGUUAGAGGUGAAAGCCUGGAGCUCAACUCCAGAAUUGCCUUUAAGACUGCCGAGCUAGCAGGUGAGAGAGGUAAGUGGAAUUCCGAAUGUAGAGGUGAAAUUCGUAGAUAUUCGGAAGAACACCAGUGGCGAAGGCGGCUUACUGGCUCAUACUGGACGCUGAGGUGCGAAAGCGUGGGGAGCAAACAGGAUUAGAGACCCGAGUAGUCCCUGUCUCUUAUAA